GGGGGAGGCGAGAGCACCCUUUGAUCCCGUGAUUUCCGAAUGGGGAAACCCACCUUAGAUACUUGGAAAUUCAAACAAGCCGUACGGCUUGACCAUUCAUGCCCUCGGGCCUGUUUGGUUUCCAAGUAUCGAGACAAGGUAUCUUAUCCUGAAUACAUAGGGAUAAGAAGGGAACGCGGGGAACUGAAACAUCUAAGUACCCGUAGGAAAGGACAUCAACCGAGACUCCGUCAGUAGCGGCGAGCGAACGCGGACCAGGCCAGUGGCGAUUGGGAGACAAGCGGAACAUUCUGGAAAGGAUGGCCAUAGUGGGUGACAGCCCCGUACGCGUAAUGCAACCAAUCGUCCUCGAGUAAGGCGGGACACGUGAAAUCCUGUCUGAACGUGGGG
Molecule: ribosomal RNA, 390 nt
Filed under: Pseudo-nitzschia fraudulenta
Lineage: Eukaryota; Bacillariophyta; Bacillariophyceae; Bacillariales; Bacillariaceae
Description: partial Bacterial large subunit ribosomal RNA
Rfam family: Bacterial large subunit ribosomal RNA
Source: RNAcentral